This 476-nucleotide ribosomal RNA is filed under the name uncultured bacterium. RNAcentral's name for it is "partial 16S ribosomal RNA". It matches the Rfam family "Bacterial small subunit ribosomal RNA", at positions 28 to 507 of the family's 1533-position model. The record is from RNAcentral.
GAUGAACGCUGGCGGCGUGCCUACCCCUUCAAGUUCGACCAAGCGCCCUUCCCGAUUUUUUGGAUUAAGGUUUUGUUACUUAGUUGCCGGCCGGUUAGUUACGCCUUGGUUACCCUGCCCUUUCCAGGGGAUUACCGGCUGAAACCGCCGCCUAUUCCGCCUUAGCCCCCCAGGAGGCCUUCUCCUUUUUUGAAAACUCCGGUGGUACAGGAUGGGCCCGCGUCUGAUUAGCUGGUUGGCAGGGUAACGGCCUACCAAGGCAACGAUCAGUAGCCGGUCUGAGAGGAUGAACGGCCACAUUGGAACUGAGACACGGUCCAAACUCCUACGGGAGGCAGCAGUGGGGAAUAUUGCACAAUGGGGGAAACCCUGAUGCAGCAACGCCGCGUGAGUGAAGAAGUAUUUCGGUAUGUAAAGCUCUAUCAGCAGGGAAGAUAAUGACGGUACCUGACUAAGAAGCGCCGGCUAAAUACGUG